CAGAAAAGAGCUUGAGAUAAGCAUUUUAUUUACAUUAAAAAGUUAAUUGUGAAAUUCAAUUUUUUCUGA
RNAcentral lists this transfer RNA (69 nucleotides) under Jamesia sp. KM-2017. RNAcentral describes it as "tRNA-Val". The record is from RNAcentral. Lineage: Eukaryota; Metazoa; Arthropoda; Insecta; Coleoptera; Cerambycidae.